This 19340-nucleotide long non-coding RNA is filed under the name Jatropha curcas. Its description in RNAcentral is "long non-coding RNA (JCUR_LNC000902)". The record is from RNAcentral. Lineage: Eukaryota; Viridiplantae; Streptophyta; Magnoliopsida; Malpighiales; Euphorbiaceae.
UUUGAACAUAUUUGGUAGAACAAGAUAUAUUUUUCGUCGAGCUUUUGGCAUGUUGGCUGAUUUGCAGAUUUGAUAAUAAUUCCAUAUUUGCGUUGUCUGAGAUUUGCCUACUGUUCUGUUUCUACCAUCUUUGUGAUUGUUGGUCAGCUCAAUUUUAUUAUUUAAUUUUGGCUAGACUUUUUUUAACACCCUUUUAGCCCCUAUAGCAGGGAACGAAAUAAUCAGUAUUUAAAUUAAAUAUCUACUUUGUAUACCGUCUUUUGCUUGGAUAUUAUUCAGAAGCUCGAGCCCUACGCAGGCUCAUGCUUCCGCGUAGGGCUUUUUUGACUACAGAAUUUUGAAGACUUGGGCAAUUCUAUUUGAAAGUAGAGGAUACGAUUCAUCCUGGCUCUUGCAAAGCACCUCUUUUUCCUUUUCUUUUAAUGCUUACAUUGCUUGGUGGAUAAUCUUCAGCAAAGAUGUUUAUCUUUUGACUAUGAAAAAGAAAUAUGGGUCUAUGACAUCAUUGGUGGCGUUAUUUGUUUGUCUAGCUCAAUCGGCGACUAAAUUAGUUAUAUUUACUUGGAUGGUGCUACCUUUUAAAUACAUCAGGUGCCUGGGUUCGCAGAAAUUUCGAAAAGAUUUUCAGCUAAAUAUUUGCUACAAAUUGUUUCAACUUGCUUCAGUCCAGGUUGGCUUUUUAGCUUUAAUAUUUCCUAGAAAAAAUAAAAAGAAGAAAGCAGUUGAUUGGGACUUUUGUCUAUUGCCUGGUGGCCAAGCAAGGGUUGGUGAAACUGGCGCACAUUUGUCUCAUAUGGACUGGGUUUUAUUCCAUCUUUUUCUGAUACGAGACUUUGCACAUAAAUAUUAGGUUUUCAGCAGUCAAAUAUCUCCAUACGGGCAAGGUAGAGAGAAUUUGCAAGCAAUUAGCACACCUUCUCUAAUGAAUCCAACAGCAAUCCAAUAUAUCUCAGAAUGCUUCAUCAAGCCCCAACACGUAGUUGAAGAAGCAGAGCAACCUUACUAUUUGUCCCCAUGGGAUCUCGCUAUGGUCUCUGUUCACUACAUCCAAAAAGGUCUUCUCUUUCCCAAGCCACCACGAGAAGACUUCAAUAUCUUACAUCUGCUGGAGAAGCUCAAGCACUCCUUAGCUCUCACUCUUGUCCAUUUCUAUCCACUAGCCGGUCGCCUUGCAACUUCUAAGAGUCAAGACCCUCCUUCAUAUGUAAUCUAUGUGGAUUGCAGAAAUAGCCCAGGAGCUAGAUUUGUCCAUGCUACUGUUGACAUGACAGUUUCUGAUAUUCUUUCACCUACUUAUGUUCCAUCAGUAGUUCAAUCCUUCUUUGACCAUCAUCGAGCUCUUAACCACGAUGGUCAUGUUCGGUCUUUGCUAACUAUUCAAGUUACAGAACUGGUCGAUGGAAUCUUUAUUGGGUGUUCUUUUAACCAUGCUAUCGGUGAUGGGACCUCUUAUUGGCAUUUCUUGAAUACAUGGUCUGAGAUUUUCCAAGCGGAGGGAGAUGAUGGCGCAGCAAUCUCACGGCCACCAGUAUUAAAACCCUGGUUUCCUGAUGGUUAUGGUCCUGUAAUCAAUCUUCCUUUUACUCACCAUGAGCAAUUCUUAUGCCCAUUUGAGUCACCUGUACUUAAAGAAAGGAUUUUUCAUUUUUCAGCAGAAUCUAUUGCUAAACUGAAAGAAAAAGCAAAUGCAGAGUACAAUACUAACAAGAUUUCUUCCUUUCAGUCGUUGUCUGCAUUUAUGUGGAGGUGCAUAACCCGAUCCCGCCAUUUACCACAUGAUCAAAUCACUAAUUGCAGAUUAGCCUGCAAUAACAGAUCAAGAUUCAAUCCACCUUUAUCGCCUAACUACUUCGGGAACUGUAUUGAUGCAAUCGCAGCUUCUAGCACAGCGGGGGAACUGCUACAGCAGAAUCUUGGAUGGGCAGCAUGGAUGCUGCAUCAGUCUGUGGUUAAUCAGACAAGUGAAAAGAUUCAGGAGCGAAUUGAAGCGUGGAAGAAAUCACCUUUUAUUUAUCACAUUGGUCGUUCUUUUGAUCCCUUCAGUGUGAUGAUGGGAAGCUCUCCUAGAUUCAAUAAGUAUGGCUGCCAAUUUGGAUUGGGGAAAGCUUUGACACUUCGCAGUGGGUAUGCACAUAAAUUUAGUGGGAAAGUGUCAGCUUAUCCAGGACGUGAAGGUGGUGGAAGUGUGGAUUUGGAGGUUUGUCUUCCUCCAGAUUCAAUGGCUGCUCUUGAAUCUGACAAGGAAUUCUUUGCUGUUGUCUCUCUGCAACGCUAGAAGUCCAUGGGGCUAAUAUUCUAAUAUUUCAAUAAUUGGAUUCCAAAAUAGGGAAGACUUACCUACUCCUGUCCAGCAUAUGGGUUCACCCAUACAAUAAAUCCAGCAUUAUUUGUAAUCACUAUUUGAUUUUUUUUUUAUAUAUAUUUAAAAUUUAGAGAUUAAAUUAUGCAUUUGUCCUGUUCUCAUAUCUACACAUCAGAUCAUGCAAGUCAGCGACUUGUGUCAAAGACCAGGUUAAUUGUCUAUUGGGCUUGGGCCCAUAAAUACUACUGUUAAUUUUACUAGUCCAGUCCGAUUCCUUCUCGCCGUCUUAGAUCAUGUCAUUUUGUUUCCUUUUUAUGAACCAAGGUCAUGUGUCCUUGGGCCGCGGCCCAUACGUUGGGUCCAUACUUUCCAGUCUAUAAUAAAAUACGAAAAUUCUUAGACUUCGGACAUUACUUGCUCUUGCCUCACACACUGGAAACAUCAAUUGUCGUUCAAAGAUUCCAUACCUUUUCCUCGCAGGUACAUUUUAUUUUGACACUCGCUACUUCAUAAUUGACACGUGCCACUGCGCCGCCAACACAUCAGUUUUGGCCAAAUAUACAGGAACCCCACUUCCAAUUGAUAAAAUUAUCCCCAAUAGUGACAAAAUUGCAUACCACAAAAGGUUAUUUAACAGAAACACUUCAUAGUGGCAUGAAUUACUUGUACAUCAGAGGUUCCCAUAGCAUUUCCUGCUCCAAAAUUGACUCAAUCAAGGACCACCACUAUCCGUCGACCUUUCAGAAUCGACCCAGCCAAUGAAAAAUAGCCAACUCAAUAUUAGUGGCCCACCCUACCCAAAAAUUACACUAGGAGCACUGGUGGAUGCGGAAGACGUACUCUUUAGUUACAUACAGUCACUUGGAAACGUCAGGGGCACGCAUCUUUCGCCUAUAUACAAACCCCUAAACCCGUCUUCUCAUUUUCCUUCUUGCUGCUCUGUUUUGUGUUUACUCUCAGGUCGGUUUGACACUGGGAGAGCGCUAAAACCCUGAAACGAUGUCGUUUUCGCGUCCUCCUGGGUGUCGAUUUUACCCCUCCGACGAACAACUUCUCUGUUUCUACCUCACCAACAAGAAUAACACAAAUAGAGACGCCGACGACGUCAAUAGUAAUACGAACGGAUACGAUUUGAUAAAAGAGCUGGAUUUGUACGACUACGAGCCGUUUGAUUUACCGGAUAAUUCGUGCUAUGCAUAUGGUUGCGGGGGGAGAAAAAGACACUGGUAUUGUUAUGCGAAGCUUAGGGUUUUGAACGAGAGCAGAGGAGGGAGGAGCAGGAGGGCCAAGGGUGGGUAUUGGAGGAAGAGCGGUAGGGUUAGGGAUGUGGCGGGUCCUGGUGGGAAGGCCGUGAUAGGGAGGAGGACUAGAUUCGUUUUUUAUUUGGGGAAUUCAGUGAAAAGUGCAAUUAGGACGGAUUGGAUCCUGUAUGAGUACGCCUUAAUAGACCGGGGAAAGGUAUUUUAGGAUUAUUAUUGUUCUAGAAUUGAAUUUGGUUAUGGUUAUGAUGUACACUUAUUAACUAAUGUGAAUGCUAUUGCUAUCAUAAGCUUUAAGUAUUUUGGUUCUUCCUUCGUCUUAGGAAGGGGCUGUGUUUUUUUUUUUUUUCCUGGUAAUAAGGAAGUUUGUGAUCUUUGUGCCCGGAAUUUAUGCGUUAUCGGCAGAGUAUAUAUAUAUAUAUAUAUAUAUAUAUAUUUUUNNNNNNNNNNNNNNNNNNNNNNNNNNNNNNNNNNNNNNNNNNNNNNNNNNNNNNNNNNNNNNNNNNNNNNNNNNNNNNNNNNNNNNNNNNNNNNNNNNNNNNNNNNNNNNNNNNNNNNNNNNNNNNNNNNNNNNNNNNNNNNNNNNNNNNNNNNNNNNNNNNNNNNNNNNNNNNNNNNNNNNNNNNNNNNNNNNNNNNNNNNNNNNNNNNNNNNNNNNNNNNNNNNNNNNNNNNNNNNNNNNNNNNNNNNNNNNNNNNNNNNNNNNNNNNNNNNNNNNNNNNNNNNNNNNNNNNNNNNNNNNNNNNNNNNNNNNNNNNNNNNNNNNNNNNNNNNNNNNNNNNNNNNNNNNNNNGGAGGGGGGGGGGUGAAUGGGAAUCCUCCUUGUUUCUUAAUAGCUCGCAAGUGCUAUUCAUUUUAUCUUUGUUUUUGCAUAUAAUUGUUUAAUCACAUUACAUUGCUCUUAUUAGUUUCUGCCUACCGACUCAAGAUCAUUCUCUUAUGCAUAAUUGACUGGAUGCAAUUGGUGUUUAGUUAUCCAAACUUUCCUUUCUUCCAAUCAAUGAAGUCCAUUUACAUGUCUAAUGAACCAUCACUUUGGUUGCUAUGUAUUUCUGUUGUGAAACCUUAGUUUUUGUCAUGUGCAGGCAUCUUAUGUCCUUUGCCGAGUAUUUGUCAAGUCUCGUGGUGGAAAUAGCACUUCAGAGAAUAUGUUAAGUUCCUGUGCGGAAGAAUGUGUUUCUGCUGUACGUCAUGUUGGCAUUCAGCAUGAUGGAUUUCUGACACCUGACAUUGUUGAAGCUAAAGUGCUUAAUCACACCAUCGUUGAUAGGAAUAAUAUGUCUAGAUGUUCUUUUAGACCGAAUGCUGAGUUUGAUGAUGAAGCCAACGCUGGACGUGUUUCUGUUGCCAGUUCUCAAUUUCCUUCAGGCAACAAUUCCAAUAUUGAAUCUAAUAAGCUAGUAAGAUACUUCAAAAGUAUAUCCUGUCACUUAAUGUAUACUUUAUUAGUGGUUUUUCAUGUUUCUUUUAUUCUAUUUAUGCCAAUCAUUUCCAUCAAAACUCAUUUUACCUCAUCUGUGUGCUUCCUAAUCAUAUCCGGUCUUUUUUCAUCUGCAUUGUGCAUUACUAAUACAAUGAUGGAGAGGCACUGAUAAGCAAAGAACUAACUUUAUAUUGUUCGAUUUUCUAUCUAAGCAUGGUUCUUUUGCUUUGUUGUAACUUGCAAGAAUUUUUGAUCUGGAAAAUUGAUGAUCAAUUUUCUCAUAAAUCCCUUCUUUUUUUUGCACGAUAUGGGCUCUUUUUUUAUCUGAUGUAUAUGUUGCAAUUGGAAAACCUGAGUUUUAACCUUAUUGCUUUGUAUCUCCUCAUGUAGACCUGACUUUACUAGGUUUUUUCUAUAUCACUCCGUCCAUUUUCAUCUUUAAUGCCCUGUCUUACUGCAUAUAUUACUGCUUCAAGUGGAUGAUGUGCACAUGUGAAUGUCUCUUCUGUGAUCCCAUAUAAGGAAAUGUUGGAUGUCAUCUAGUAUCCAUGUCAUGUAAUUUUAUUUUAAUUUUUAAUAAAUCCUCGUUCUUUUCCUCUUUCAAACAACUUAUGUCUCUUUUGAUCUGAUACCCUGUGGCAGGUUAUGACACCUAGACUUCCUGGUGGUGAUAUGUUUCUAGAAGCUGAAACUGCUGAUCAAUUAGUAUCCAUUCUAAAGGGAGAUUUCAUAGAGCUGGAUGAUCUUGUGGAUUGAUCAUCCAAACAAGGUGGAAAUGAUAAUUUAUGAAAGAUAUAUGUCAUUAACCCUAAUGCGGUUCACUAUUUACUGAAACAAUUGAUUUGUGGACUUUAGAAGUAAUAGGAGCUUUUGAUGCCCAGCUAGAAGCUUAGAUUUUAGAAGGAGCAGAAUGAAUUUUAAUGUGCAGCUAAAAAUAGAAAAGGGCCUGAAAUCCAGUUUUGAACGAGAGAUUUAUAUUUUGAGGAACCUUAUGUAAAACAUUGUGCAAAGGAACAGAAGAUAUUAGUGUUGUGUGGAACGUUCAGCAGUUUAAUGAAGGACUCAUACUGUUAGUUAUGAUGUUUAGGGAGAUUUCAUAGCAGAAUUGCUUCGUCACUUGAGGUACACUAAUGACAAAGCUUUAAUUUAAUUUUUUAACUUCAAUCUCUUCAUGUCAUGACUAGCAUUUUGUCUUAUAUUUUAUAAUGUUAUGUGCAGAUUUCUCUUGUGCCCAUAACGGGCAUUUUUCCUCCAGCGGUAUUUGAACAAUAUUGGUAUAUCAGAUGGUAAAUUCAGAUUUAAGAAAAUCUCUGAGUACAGCUGUUUCAUCUGGCCUCAGCAUCUCACUGUUGUAACAUUGAUGGUGGGGGGUUCUUGUCUUUUCAUAUAAUGGGAAAAUUAUAUUUUCCCAUUGUUUCUCUAGUGCCUUCGUUUAACAGAGCAUCUUGUUCUUUAGUCAUCUGUUCUCACUUUCUGAAGUUGCAGGGAUAGAUGUCUUAAUUUGUUCCUCCUUACCUUGUCAGCAACUUUGCUUAGCUUGGGAGGACUAUCAUUGUUUAGCCUGCCAUCAACUGUAUUCUAUUUCUCAGUGUCUUACAGCAGACUUAGAUAACAUUAUCACAGAGUAAGCAGGGUAAACAAAUUCUUCUGCAAUUGUGUUUAUACUGCUUUCUUAUUUGUUGCAGAAUCUUGUCAAAAUGCUUAUAAAACCAGAAGUGAUGAUGGUAAAUGAGUAAUUCCAUGGACCUAAGUAUGUUACUUUAUUCUGUUAUUUUCAGCAGAUCUUACUCAUAAUAUAUAGCUCAUCGGCAAGUAUUUAGGAUGUUUAGCCUUUUAAUUUGUUAGUCUCUGCAGGUUCUAAUGUGUCUGAUUUUCUGACGAGACUAGAUUUGUACAAUAGUUUUAUAUUGGUUUUGCAUAUGUUGCUUUCUUUUUGGGACGGUAAUUUAGACCUUUCCUGGAUUUUUAAGAUUUCUGUUAGUGCCUUGAUUGCAAUUUUGUUGCAAAAAAAGGCUGAGAGUGGAGGAGAGUUUGGAGUACUAGUACAUGGUAUUUAUGGUCCUUUGGUUAAAUCUUGAUCCUCGGUGAAUUUAUGGAGCGCGUAUCAAUCAUGUUAAGAGGUGCUGCAAAUAGAAAUGGGUGGAACUUAGAAGCCUAUUUUAGAUUAGGUUACCUCGUAGCCUGUCCAUAUGUCUUUUUUAGUUAAAUAUAUUUUUUAUGUACUAUUAUAUUAUAAUUUAUCUCUCUCACUUUUAAAGUAUUAUUAUUUACUAUAAUCAAAAUUACAUUUUAGAUUAUAUAUGUUGAUCCAUUAGUAAAAUAUACUAUUUUUUAUUAAUUAGUUUUUGAAUAAUAGUUAUGUUCCGUGUUUAUUGGUUAUUAUAAAGAAUUCACUAUAUUAGUGUGUGUACAUUGUACACAAAAUAAAAGUAUUUAAAUUAAAAAUUCAUAUAUAAAUCCAUAAUUUAUAUUACUUUUUUUGAAAAAAAUUUUAUUGUCACCUAAACUGGUAAUUCAAUAUUCUUAAGUUACAUAUGAACAUUAAAUUUUAGUAAACAAAAACCUCUUUGAUUUAAAAUUUCAUACUGUUUCAAAAUUCAACUGCUAAAUAUGAUAAAACUUCAAUAAUUUUAAGAUGGUCCUUUAUGAAAAUAUUGAAUUUCGUAAUUAAAAUGCACUCUACGCGGUUCUUUUGGUGAGGGUAUUAAUUGUAGAUUGAGGAUUGACGAUUCCACAAGUUGACAAAUGAUACGUGGACUACACCUUACAUUAUUGUUGAAUCUAUUUUUAUUUUUGGCCCUCCCGUCUCAUGUUUAUAUUUAUAUUGAAGUUUACUUUUAUAGAGUAACAUUUGACUGCUGGGUUAUUAAAUAAAUAACACAAACUGAAGCUAACCUAUGGUAGAUGAAGUAGUUGAAACUUAGUUACAAUAACAGAAAGCUGAUCAAAGUGAAAUCUUGCAAGUGGUUCUUUUACAUCGUUGCUUUCUACCCUCUUUAACUUUAUUCCCAUUUCAUGAAGUUUUAAGCAAUGAGCUUCAUUUCUUUACUACAGAAAUAUUUUUUUUUUUUAUUCUUUUGCUGUAGGACAGUACAGGCACAGCUAUUAGGAAGUAUGUAUGAUAAUUGCUUCCCAUCUUUACAUACCUUAUGUCUGUAGCCAAUGACUUGGCUGCCUUAAGAUGGUUAUUAUUCUCCUACUACCAAUGUCUCAUCAUCCAUAUUUUGGUAGAAACACCACUCUCCCUAACCAUUUAAAAAAAAAUAAUAAUAAUAAUAGAACAAAGUCUCUCUCUUCACUCCUCUUUUGGCUUUAGAUUAAAAUUUUGGAGGAGUUGCCAUGUGCUCCAUCAUUACUGGAGGAUUCAAUCUCUCCCUCUGCAUCUCUUGUGGAUGAAAGUGGGUCAUUUCAACCUUUAUGUUGUUGCAGAUUUUUGCCUUUCCCUCAAGUAAAAAUCGAUUCAAUAACCCACACAGACACACCAACCUUUUCAAAAGGCUAUUAUGAAAAACACUGUACAGAGAGGGAGGGAUGAGAGUAAUUGCUUAAUUGCCAACAAUUAGGCCUUCCAAUUAGGAAAUAAAUUUUCUAAUCCAAAUUGGCCUACGGUGUUGGCAAGCAUAUUCUUUGGUGUAAAGUCAAAUGAAAUAGGCAAAAUAUAAAUUAGGAGUCCAAUGGUGGACCGUGUCAAAGCUUGGGAAUUUUACAUAUGAUUGAACCCACCACACAGACAAUAUUGGGGUUUGGCGCUUUGCUAAGAUGGUUAGGUUGGCAAAAAAACUUUCUUCCUUGCCAAAAGCGUGGGUUGUUUCUAAAUAUUCACUUGAGUGGAAGAAUAAUCAAUCUUAUCUUGUUUGAUUAGUAUUCUAAACACUAUCAAAUGUGUCAUUACGCAAUGGGUUAUGUUAAAGUAUUCCAUGUGGAGGGAGGGAGGGAGGGAUUGGAGUCCACUCUAAUUUUUAUCUAAUUCGAAGACUACCAAAUGCUUUUGAAAGAUGAAGAAAAAGGAAAAGAACUCAAAAUAGGGACCAAACGCUUGAGAAUAAGCGGCCCACGCCACCAUACAGAUACCCUAGGAAGUUGAGGCUGAACCUGCUUCUGCUUGCUAGAUAACUUAUUUACUUAGGUCUUUGUAUUCACACCUCUUUUAAGCAAAGUGCAAUUAGCUAUUUAGUUGUUGAGGUUUUUUCGAACAGAAUCACUAUCGUAUUUUUAUUUUUCCAUAAAAUUACGGAUUUAUUUUUCACUAUUUGUAUUUACUAUUUAGUCCCUUAUAGAAAAUGAUUCCAACAGAAUCUAUGAGCGAAUCCACCAAAUUAUAUGCCUGGAGGAUCAUAGGUUUGCUUCUUAAGGUUUUGAUUAAUUCAUUUACAGCCCGGAGUUAAAUGAUUUGAUUUGGGUUUUACCAUUUUUAACCAUAGAAAAAAAAAAAAAAGCCAAUAAUGACCAUUAAUAGAUAGUCAAAAGGGCAAUAGGAAGCAAUCAGAUUUUUAGGUGGAGAGGAAAAUCUAAGUCAUCUACAGUGGGUCCCAAAAUAUUAUAUCUAUGGCACGUGUGCAAAAUAUUAUUAAUUUUAAAUUUCUUUUUAAGUCACAACCCAAACGCUGCCCCUAUUCACACAUCAAAAAAACGACAGGGAGAAAGAGGGCAGCAACAGCAAAGGAAAGGGGUGAGGCAUGUGACGGUAAAAAGAGGUGCUUGGCGUGAAGAAGAUGGGAACAAAGAGCGGGUGGGGCUGCCUACGGCGCGCAUUGGGAGAAGGGUCUUUUCUUUAAUUAAUUAAUUUGUAUUCUCUAUUUUGUUGGCAUUAGAGAGAUAAACAGAGAAAGAGACAGGGAUUUGUAAUUAGAGAGAGAGAGAGAGAGGCAUUUUCAUUUUUUGUAAGGUAAGCGGCCCAAUAGAGGUACACCUUUUUAGCUUAGUUGUUGCUCUAUUUGUUGAUGAUGGAUGGAUAGAUGGAUGGGUGGAUGCGUUGGGGGCUGUAAGUUGUUGCUUGCUUUGCUACUUCUCUGUCAUUUUUAUUUUUGAUAUUUUUUCAAUUUUUAAUUCAAAUUCUUUGUUUGGAAACUGCUCUGUCUUAUGACCAUUUAACUCUCCUUUCUUUCUCUCUCUUUGGGUUAUUUCGUAAAUUAACGAUUACUGUCCUCUUUUAAUCUCUCUUUUCAUCUGUGUACAUUGUAUUCCCCAUCUCAUUUCUUCCUCUUCCUCCUGCAAGCCCCCCCUCUCUUUCUUCUCCUCAUUUUCUCUCCUUUCCAUUCCUCUCUAACUGGGGUUUUGUUUUCUUCUUCUCCUUUUUCUCUUUCUUUUCUCGAGAAAGAGGCAGAAAAUUUCAUCGGCAGGAAAGUUGAGAUUUUCUACCGUUUUUUUUGCUAAUUUUUUUAUUUUUUUGGCUGCAGAUUCUUAGAUCGAUCAGGCUUUUCUGUUUUUAUUUCUUAGGUAAGCUCCUUAGAUUUGAUUUUUAAUUUCUUUUGUUCGAUCGGCGGAUGAUGGGCCGUGCUGUGACCGUUCUCUUUCGUUUUUUGUUUUUGUUAAUGGUUCAUGUCAUGGGGGUUGUGAAUUUCUUUGGUUGUUUUUGGUUUAAUAUAUGAAGUAAUUUUUCCAAAAGGUAGAUUUUUUUUUUAAUUUGUUGAUUUUUCAUUUAAAAAAAGAAUUUUUUUAUGGUAUCUAACUAUAUUAAUAUUACUGGUUUUUUCGUUUUAUUAGCUGUUUAAUUUGUAAAAGUUUUUUUUUUUCUGUCACGAUACAAAUCGAUCUCGAAUUAGAUGUAGUUUCCUAGUUUGACCGUGUUUGUUUGUAGAUGGAUUUCUUUAGUGGUCUUUCUUUCCUUGGGUUGGAAUCGUAUUCCUAUUGGAUGUCUCUAUUUUCGUCGUUAUAAAACUUGAUUAUGGUUUUGAGUUGAAUGUUUCUUCUCUUUGAUGCCCUGUGAAGUUUUAACCGUCCCCAAUUCUUUCAAAGGAUUUUUUUUUUUUUUUUUUUGUUGUUUGUUGGUGUUUGAGGUUGUUUCUUUGGAGUUGUUAGUAUGCGUGCGUUUCUGAACCUAGCUUCUGCCAGUAAGUUGCUGGAAUGGUAAUGUAGCAAUAGGUUUCGAGCAUAUAGAGAUUUUUAUUCAUCAGCAAGGGCAACCUCUUGGCCUUUGUUAUUGAAGUUCAGUGUAUUGCUUGAGAUACAAGUGUAGGCUUUUCUUUGUUUAAAACUAAAGCCAACUUGCGUAGCACACCCUCCUGCGUCCAUUCUUUCUUUGUGGCGGUUGUCAACCUAGGAGAUAUAAAGGGUUUGGAGUUUCUGACAGAAAUUAUAAUGUGGUGUGUGGGGAUAUAUUUUAGGUUCUUUUAUGUUAUAUGGAGCAUUUUCAUAAUACUUAUAUUAAUUAUUUCCUUGCCACAAUUUGAUUUUCUGUGCCAGAUUUUGAAGAAAUUUAUAUUGCUCUUUGCGUUGGAAUAUUCUUCAGCUCUUGCAUACAGUUUAUAAUUUGCAUCGACAGCAGCCCUAAUGCAAGGGCAGAGGGGUAUUCUUGGCUCCUUGCCAGAAAUAUUGGACUUUGACCAUGGAUCAACAUCAGGUAAUGCGAUCCUAGAUCAGCAAAUUUGCUGGAAUAACAUGCAAAAUCCUGCAGAAAACCGAUCGGCAGACUUUUUGCUAUCACCGAGCCACAUGACCAAUGCAUUUGUCAAUUCCGUUGAACAUGAAAGACAAAAUUUGGGUGGAUGGAGUUUGGGUGAACCCAGCUCUAGUGGUACACAAAAUGAGGCAAAUCAUGAAGAACAGAAAUCAGAACAUGCUUGGUCAUCUUCGGCAAGUACUUGUGCUGGAGCUGGUUCAAGGUUAGAAGAAAGGCGAUAUGAACCAACCAAUAUUCUUUCGCUAGACAGUGUUAAUGUGAACCCUCAAUUUGUGCAGAGUUCCCAUUCCAAUGUGAUUCCACAGAAUCUCAACCUGAAUGCAGGUUAUAUGGGUCAUGGUAGUGAUAAUGGCCAAGUAAUGGAAAGCUCUAACAUGUUUAAAUCUGCUGGACCAGAAAAUGAGCGCAUUCCUCCUGCUAGUAGCUCUGAUGCUUUUCUGCAUUCUUCUGGAAGUAGCGGAUACAUGGUGGAAGAAAAUGAUGGCAGACCAGGUUGUUCAUUGGAUGGUCGUCGUCAAUCUUGCAAGAGAAAGGCUGUUGAGGGACAUAUUGGACAGUCCUCUGUGAGUGGAAGUUCUAGUUUCUUUCAGUGCUCAGAGAGUAGCGGGUGGCCUGGUGUUCCCACUCGCUAUGAUGCAGGCAGCAGUUUAAGUAUAUCUGCUCCAUCAGAACAAGUGAACCCCAGACUUGGACUAGGUCUGAGAGGACUAGCUUCUGAUAGUAUUCCUGACUCGGCAUUAGCAGGACGCCCAGAAACCUCCCAAAGAAAUUUUCGGUUGAGGAUAAAUCCUUCAAAUCAAGAAUCAAUUCCCCCUGCUUUAUUUUCUGCAGGGAAUGCUGGUAGACGUUCGAAUGCACUAUCUUCUCACCGCUCAUCAAGACUAAUUCCAAUUGAUCAUUCAUUGGACUUUAGGGCACCACCAACAGUAGAAAGUGCAACUUCGCAGAGCCAGCCUGUUGUUAUCCCUGUUCCAGCUUUACCGCAGAAUCUGCAGUCUUUUAGGUGGAAUGAAAGCUCUAGCUCCAGAACUAGCAAUUCAUCAAAUCCUAUUUCUUUAGCUGAUAGAGAGGAAGCCAGCUCAAGAGGCGGAAUGAGAAAUUUAUGGGAACAUCCAAUGUUUGUACCUGCAACCGAGUUGAGAACAUCGGUUAGAAAUCCAACAAACAGAAGUGUAACUAGUGCAAAUGCAAGCGUUCCUGGAAAUGUUGCAUCUACAUCUCGUGCUGGCUCAAGUUUGGGUGUCCAUCCUUUAUCAGCUUCGCCAUGGCUUUCUCAUCCAACUCCUUCUUCAAGAAAUUCUCGAAGAUUAGCUGAAUAUGUUCGUCGAUCAUUGUUUUCUUCUGCUGGUGCAGAUUCUGGGGGCCAGAGCAGUGCUAAUUCUCCAUUGCAUGCUGGUCCUCCUGGUUCCUCGGAGGAAACAAUAAUUCCUUCUGUUGUUGGUAACCAAGUUCAUCAUCGAUCAUAUCCAAGAUCAGCAUUAUGGACGGACAGACAGGGUGAUGGCGUGCUUGGAAUUCCCUAUCCUUUGCGAACUUUGGCUGCUGCCAGUGAAGGAGGAAGAAGCAGGCUUCUUGUAUCUGAGGUUUGUUCUUGAACUCUCUUUGUUGAGCUAUGAAUUUCUGAUAUUGAAAUGUGGAGUAGUUUCUUUUGCUAUAUGCAAAUUAAUCAGUCCUUACAUUAUGCCAAUUUGCAAUUAUGGCUUGCAUCACUAAAUAGCCAAUUGUAGCAAGACCUUUAAUUUUGUUGCAACUCACAGUUAAUGAUUGGGGUACAGUUGCCUAUUCCUGUAACCAUAACAGCAAAAGGACAUAAAGUUCAGUACUUUUUUGGGAUUUAACCCAUUAGUAUUUUAUGUUGUGAGGAUUUUUUUUUUUUUUUUUUUUUUUUUUUUUUUUUUUUUGAGACUGAUACUAAUUUAAUUGUAAUUGGCAAAUAUAUAUAUUUUUAUAUCAGUAUUGCUUCUAUAGAUUUAGCUGUAAUUAGUGAAAAGAAAUUAGAAAUACAACUAUAUUGAAGUUGCAAGAGAACAGAAAGGAAACAGCACGGCUAAGAUGUUGUGGGGAAAAGUAGAGUUGGAGCUUUUAGAAGCCCUAGAUAUUCUGAAGAAGUCACUAUAAUGAGAUGUAAUGGUUGAUUUCAGUUUAGGGUACUGCUUCAAUAGUUUUGAUCCUGAUUUUCUUCUAUAGUAAGAUAGGCUCUUGAUUUCGCACGACUGUUAAAUUGCAUGUGUUAUGCAUAAUUUCUGAUGCUUGAAAUCUUUUGUUUUCUAAAAUAGUGCCUGCAUGCAAAAUGUCUAUUAAUUGUAUAAUUAUUCAGUACACUCCGAUCUCUGCACAGCCUUUCAAUUGUGGCAAUUAAUUCUGUAAUUUAUAAUUGGGAGUCUGUCCAAAUUGUAGAAGUCUCUGUUGGCUUUUAAACUGUAUGUGAAGUGACUAGGUGGACAUACUUGGCUUAAUAAAAGUCAACUUAUUUGAUUUUCAAAUCAGUAGUAAUAUAUUGUGGACUCAUGUAGCAAAGGGGUAAAAACACCAUUUACUAAUUUAUAUAGCAAGUAGAGAUAAGAAGAAAAAUAGAACCAAGCUAAUAGUAAUGCCCUUCAAUUUAUUUGGAUGACAUUCAAAAAGACUUCCCUAAAAGCUCCAUAAGCAUAACCCAUAAUGGGAACACUGCCUUGUUCCACAACAAGCAAAUGGAUGGGCUCUUGUUUUUGAAGAUGCAUGUAUAUUCUUCCAUAAAAUAAAAUAAAAUAAAAAACAUUACUCCUUAUUAGGCUCACAAUUACUUAGCACAAAAUAUUACCAGCAGUAUUUGUUACUGUAAAAUUACCAAUAGCCUUAUUAAACUUGUAAGUCAUAUGGUCAACAAAAUGACUGCGAAUGGAAAGAGGACUAAGGAGAAUAUGUGAUUAGGGAACAUUAACAAUAAGAGUAGCAAGCAUAUCUAUAAGAGAUUUUGCUUUAGGUUAUACAUAUUUUAAUGAUGGUCUCUCUCUCUAAUUAUCUAUCUAUUAAUUUAUAUUAUGCCUGUUAUAAUUUUGAAAGUAGCAACAUUCACAUCCAUAAAAGCAUUCUUCUGGAACUUACAAUACUUUUUAUGUUUAUAUAGCAGAUUCGCAAUGUCUUGGAUCUGAUGCGUAGGGGUGAGAACUUGCGAUUUGAGGUUAGUUUAUUUUAUUCUGCCUUUUUUUUAAAAAAAAAAAAAAAAAAAAAGUACAUGUGUUAAAUGGUGAGAUUGGUGAAUAAAAUUCAUUUCUCACUCUAUUAUAAUUGAUGGUGGCUCCUUACUGUGGAAUUGAAUCAAAAGAUCCUGUAAACUGAUUUUUCAAAGCUUGAAUGAGUAAUUCAAUGGGUUUACAUUACUAUUUUAUUGUAAGUUUAUGGUGGUGGUGGUAAAUGAUGCCUGGUUUGGUCAGUGGUGGAAAUAAUGCAUGAGGCCUUUAAUAGUUCAAUUAAUAGUUUUUGGUUGAAGUGUCUGAAGUGUGACUUCUAAUUGUGCAUCAGGAUGUCAUGAUUCUUGACCAAUCGGUAUUUUUUGGAGUGGCUGAUAUUCAUGAUAGGCAUAGGGACAUGCGGCUUGAUGUUGAUAACAUGUCGUAUGAGGUAAGAAAUGCGGUUUGCUCAGCAUCUGAUUUUUUCUGCUCGUUUUUGUUUAUCAUUCUCAUAGUACAAUGAUUUUGUUUUGGGGAAACCAUAGGAGUUGUUGGCUUUGGAAGAGCGCAUUGGAAAUGUUAGUACUGGAUUGAGUGAAGAAACCAUCUUAAAUCGGCUAAGGCAGCGGAAAUAUUCUGUUGCAGCAGCAGAAACUGAGGUGGAGGCAGAACCAUGUUGCAUUUGUCAGGUAAUUAUAUUGUCUAGUGCAUUAUUCCUUCUAUGUCUCUGCAUUACUGCUCACACAAUUAUUUACUUGCAGGAGGAAUAUAAUAAUGGAGAUGAUGUAGGAACACUGGACUGUGGGCAUGAUUUUCACAGUGACUGUGUUAAACAAUGGUUGAUGCAUAAGAAUUGGUGCCCCAUUUGUAAAACAACAGGGCUCGCUACAUGAUAAGUUAUUUCGAUGUUAGGCAGUUAGAUUAUGCUCAGAAUGUGAAGAACGAAGGUUGGCACGAAAAUCUGUCGCAUGUUUCAGUUAUUGAAUCCAUUGUCUUGGCGAGGUACUGCCUUUGCAUCACCUCUCAGUUCAUCCUUUGAGACUAGUCUAUAGCAUGACUCAUCAGAGGAAGGAAUUUUCUUUGUUUUUUUUCAAAGAAAGAGACAAAAUCCAAGUCGAUGCUGCAACUGUCUAAAGAGUGCAAAACUGGUUUUCAAAAUUUUAAUUUGUUAUUGAACAAUUAGUUUAUUGGAUAUUCAUUGUGCCCCUUUUUUCUUCUGUCCUUUUUCCCGUCUCUCUUUUUUUUUUUUUUUUUUGUUCAUUUAGGUAACAAUGCCUGUUUAAAUUUGGAGUUGCGACAUUUUGGGGGAGCCUAAUGGCAGGUCAAGCUAGUAACUCCUUUUUAUUAUUAUUAUUAUUAUUUCCUAAUGUAACCGAGCAUAAUUGUUCAAAAAAAAAAAAAAAAAACUCUGAAUUCUAUCCAGGUGUUAAAUUAGCAUUGAAGGAUAUUAUGUUUUAUCUCAUUUUGUGGAAAUUAAUUGGUAACAUUUCUUGAGCAAGUUUCUCUGGAAGAUAUGAAUUGGAAAUUGGGUUUAGAGGAACUGCUUAAGAAGUAUAAUGAGCUGAGUUUGAUAUUCUAUUUAACAACAAUAACGCUCUUAUGUUUUCGGCCAAGCCCAUGCAAAGGAUACAUUUCUUGGAAAAAGCAAAAGCAUGUGCAUCUACCAGCCAAAAAAAGAUUGUUCGAUCUGAUAAUUUAGUUUCUGCUAGUUCCUAAUUCUAUAUUUGAGGAGUGAACAGACCAGGUUUUGGAGCCUCUAUUCUUUGCCAGUCUGUAGUGGGGGAUAGCCGAUGGGGUUAGGUGUUGGUUAAGCGGAGGAGGGGAGGAUAAAUGUUAGCUAACACGCCACCAAAAAGUGACAUCGGGAAUUGUAUCUUUUUUGGGUCAAUGCUCCUCUCGUCUCCUCUCAGCUCAGGCUAAGGUGACGUUUUUGUUUGGGAUAAGACUGUGAAAGUUGUGAGAUGUCUCUUUGACUUUUAACUUCACUAAUUUAUUAAGGACCAUAUUCUAUUUAUAUGCUUUCCCUAACAAGUUCAAAUUUUCAAUCACGUCCCUCAAUAUUUUUGCAUCCCCGUCCCUCCAUUCCUAAAUUUAAAGUUUGAACCACCAUAAUAUCAGAUUAGAAAUAAAUGGUAAAAUGGGAAAAAUUGUAAAUUACAUGGUUUUUUAUAUGUUUUUUUCUAUUAACGAAAUGAUAGAUUUUACUUAAAUCCAUACAUUAUAUAAAAUCCGUCAUUUUCAAUAUCCUUAAUCCAAAUAUGCCCUUUUUGUAUUUGAACUUGGGGAAAAAAUUGGAUCGCAUUGACAAGGGUUUCAUAGAAAAUAAAUGUUGAAGUAUGGGGCAGGUUUAAGAAUAAAAUAAAUAAUAGGGUGUAAACGAAAUUAUGGCAAAAAAUAGGGACUCCUAACUAAAAGCAACACCAAUUAAAAUACUUUAAUUAAGGCGGGAGAUUAAUCAAAUUUGAUUAUGAGCCUUUUUUUGUAUCAAAAAGCUUCAUUAGCCCAGAAACCCUUCCCCAAGAGAGCAAAAGCCAACAGACAAAGAGAGCACAGAAAAAGAGAGCUCAAACAGGCAGAGGCACUGACGGUUUUUGCAUAGAAACGAGACGCUAACAAGAAUCUGACGUUGCUCAAUUGCUUUUGCCUUCUCCAUUUACUUACUUAGAUUUAUUAUCCAUGGCCGAUCUGUACGGAACUGCUACCUCUCCGGCUCCGGAGCCUGAAGAAAUCUCAUCCUUCCUUCACCAUCUACUCCACAAUUCCUCUUCAUCUUCUUCUUCUAAAUUCAUGCAGAAUGCUCUCUCUUCUCCACCUCCCGCGCUGCCGCCGCAGGCCGAUUCUUCACCAGCAACUGAAUUGUUGUUUGGCCGGUCGCAAUCAGGGUGUCUAGCCGAUGGCCGGAGCUCCUGCGUUAAUUUCUCCGAUCCCGGUGGUUAUUUCGCAAAAGAGAGUACGGAAAAUGCUGUCUCUUCGGUUAUGUCAAAGAGGAGGGGAGUCUCCGUGGAGAAUGAUCUGGGUGACUUAAGCUGUGAUAGCGAGGUAAUCGUUGAUUGACAUUUGAAGAAUCUGUAUUGAUUUCUCUGUAUUUUUUUUUCUUUCUCAAAAUAAGCUUUUUUGCUAAGUAAUGGAACUUAAAUGUGAGAUUUAUCAACUGCGAUUGCUAAUCGUUUGGAAUUUUGGAGAUGAUGUGUUCCCUUACACUUUUUAGAAGGGUGCAGAGGUUUCAGACAUGCCGUCAGAAACAGCGCGGCCUCGAACUUCCUCCAAGAGGAGCAGAGCUGCAGAGGUUCAUAAUUUAUCUGAAAAGGUUAGCUCUUAGGACUCUAAUUAUGCCCAAUUAUCUGCGUUUGUGUGUUUUUAAUGUAAAAUUUGAUUCAUGGGCUUGCUUGGAAAUGGCUGAAUUGUUCAUAGAGGAGGAGGAGUAGGAUUAAUGAGAAAAUGAAGGCCUUACAGAAUCUUAUUCCAAAUUCUAAUAAGGUAUUCCUCAACAACUUCUCAAACCUGUGAACUUGAAAUAGCGCAUUUCAAAUAAAUGAUUUGAUAUAUAUUUUUUUUUUUUUCAUUUUGUGAAGACUGAUAAGGCAUCCAUGCUGGAUGAGGCGAUUGAAUACUUAAAGCAGCUUCAGCUGCAAGUACAGGUCAGUUUUCUUCUUAACUCUAUCCUUGUUUGAAAUCUGUAGUUUAGCCUGAAUUAAGAGCAACUUCUUCUGUAUCUUGUGAUUCUCUAUCCAUCGUUUUUUACACUGAUGAGAUCUUCAGCAAAAAGAAUAGGGGACUAUUGUCUCAUAUUGCAAUUUAUAUUGUUACAAGGAUUGAAGAUCAUUACCAAGAUAGCAAUGCUGGCAGCCAAUGCUGAAUGAAAUCUGGUAGCUAUUUCUUGAUGUAAAAUAUUGAUUCAUAAUGUUUCUAGAUUAACCUCUCAUGACUAAUACUUGGGCAGACAACAAUUGUGUGAUGGUGUAACUGGCCGAUGUAGUUAUUAGGAUUAAAUCUUUUCAUAGCUCGGAUAAUUUAGUUCUUCUCCUAAAUUCUUGACAGUGAAGAGUAAAAACAUAUAAUUAAUUAGGUUAUUCAGUGCUGAAGUUGAUCAUGGGUCUUCUGAAAUUGACAUGAGAAAAAAAGUGAACUUUAUUUGUGAAGUAGAAAGCAAUGACCUGUUAUGUUGGUUGACUAAUUUAAACUUGAAAAACAAUAACGAAGUUAUGUUGAGUAUGUAAAUCCGUUUUCACUUUUUAGUUUGGCAUGGUGAUGGCAAUUGGUUAGAUAGUAUGAAAAAACACCGCAUGAUUCAUGCCUAGGUCUUUCGCACUACCACAUAUUUGCAAAAAUCGUUAUGGCACAUUCUGUAACUAUAUUUAGAGCUAAUGCAUCAUAUAACAAUCAGUUUAAGCCUAUGUGGCUGUAUUUGUUUAAGCUAUCAUAUAGCUAUAGAAUUAUUAUGGAUGUAUUUGUUUAGAACUAACGAGGAAGGACAUAUAACAAUUAGGAAGAAAAAAUUAAGAAAAUGACGGUAAGUUAUCAUUACUUGAAUAUGUUCGUUAGACUAUUCGGCAUUUGUGGUUACAUGCAUGAAAUAUGUAAAUUUACA